Molecule: RNA transcript, 5573 nt
Organism: Gossypium raimondii (Peruvian cotton)
Lineage: Eukaryota; Viridiplantae; Streptophyta; Magnoliopsida; Malvales; Malvaceae
Exons: 9
Source: RefSeq, a predicted model, not a curated record
UUUCCAUGAUUUAUGUACAAUGCAGUGAAAUUAGGAUUCAAAAUUGAUAUAUAUUUGAUCUUGAACAAUAAAUUAUUAGGUCAAAGCUUUCACUUUGUUGAUUUUCCACACACAAUCAUCCAAUUUAGUGAAUGAUAUUUGCAGUUAGUGUUGAAAUCUUUAGUUGACACCGAUGAUUAAAAAAAUUGAUAUUGGUUUAUUGCUAUACAAUAGAAUCAUCUUUUUCCAGAUUAAUGUUGAUGAUGAUCAUGGGACGUGGCUUUUUAACUCUAGAUUUGGGGUAAUUGUUCAUUGCAGUUUUUGGUUUUAAGUGUAGUCGAAGGCGUAUUGAUUUAUAGAUGCAUGGAUACUUUAGGUAAUGCUGUUAUGGAGUAUUGAUUUUUAAUCCUAUGUACGGUUUUAGGUAACUGCUGUUUAUAGAGGAAAUUGGAGAUUAUAAGGAUUGGUUGUUGCCAUUAAAUCAGUCAUUCAAAAUGUCUUCAUGUGAGAAUGUGCAAACUAGUGAAGUUGGGGGCCAAGAUCAUCAAAAUAAUGCUCCUGUUGUUAGUGUUGGUUGCUUGAGACCUGAUGAUGGUGUGGAGGAGGAGGCUGAGGAAGAAGUGGAGGAUGGUGAGGAUGAGGAAGAAGAUGUAGAUUUCAAUCCCUUUUUGAAGGAAACACCUUCUCUGGAGGCUUCUUCUAGUUUGAGCUCUGAAAUUGAGGGUUUAGAUGGUGAUACUGUUGAUAGUAGAGAAAAUGUUAAUGUUACUCCAGAUGUCAAUUCAUCAAAGAUUAAUACUAUGUUGCAAAACUCCGAUGUUGGAGAUUCUGAGCACUGUGACGAGGAAAUUGUGAUGCGGAGUACUUCCUCCCAUGAAUUGCAAAAUAACGUUCCCCAGAAAAAUUACAAGAGGGAAGCUGGAUCUAGUUCUCAAUUGGAAAGAGAAAAGGAAAGUCAGUUAAGCAAUGUAAAGAAUAGUAUGGUUGGAGACUCGAGUAAUGCUACACAUUCCCAGAAGAUAAUAAUGUAUUUGAUUGAUGAUGAAGAUGAUGCUAUCUGCAGGCGUACUAGGGCUCGUUAUUCACUUGCCAGUUUCACUCUUGAUGAACUUGAGGCCUUUCUUCAGGAAACAGAUGAUGAGGAUGAUGUUCAAAAUGUUGACGAUGAAGAGGAGUAUAGGAAAUUUCUUGCUGCUGUUUUGCAAGGUGGAGAUGGCGAUCACCAGUCAACUCAGGAAAAUGAAAAUGUUGAUGAUGAAGAUGAGGACAAUGAUGCAGAUUUUGAAGUAGAACUUGAGGAGGCACUUGAGAGUGAUUAUGAUGAACCUACAUUGGAAAAGACACAGGCAGAGGAAAAUCAAAGAGCUGGACGACGUCCAGAAACAAGGCAGAACAGACGGCAAAAAGCCUCUGCUCAGUAUGAAAGAAAGCUUUUAGAGCAGACUAAGAGGCCAUUGCGCCCCCUCUUACCAAUCUUGCCUAAUGAACAAAUUACACCCAUACCUACUCUUAAUGGGAAAACUUGGAUGCCUGAGAUUUAUAAGAAUUGUGUAGCUUCUGCAGCAGUAGAUGGUUUCAUCAAUGGGUUCACUCCAUAUCAAAUAGGCCAGUUGCAUUGCUUGAUACAUGAGCAUGUGCAACUUCUUAUUCAAAUAUUUUCUCUUUGUGUGCUUGACCAUUCUCGGCAGCACAUUGCAUCUCAAAUUCAGGGUUUGAUUCUCGAGAUGCUUCAAAAACGAGAUGAAGCGAUAGCUCAUAAAAGAAAGCCAUAUCCUGAUUCUUGCUUCAAGCCUCCAUAUGUCUCUUCGUCAGUGCCAAAUGAGGUCCCCCUUUUGUGCCCCACAAAGAACACCUCUAAAACAUCUACAUCUAAUGCUAAUGGAGUCUGCUUUUCCCCAAAUACACAGCUGCCUGAUGCUCAAAAUAUUUCCAGUCCUGGAAGAAGAUGUGAACAUUCUGAUGUGCAGUUGUACUCUUUCUGGGUGCCUUCUUUAAGCAGCCCAGUGUUAUCCAUUCUCGAUGUUGCUCCAUUCAAUUUAGUUGGAAGAUACAUGGAUGAUGUAUAUUCUGCUGUCCAGGAGCAUCGACAACGUCACUUGGAGAGUAGUACUACACAAUAUGAAAAGGCACCCCUGUUCCCUCUUCCUUGUUCUCCAUCUAUGAUGGAAGCUAAUAAUGAAGCAUCAAGAAGCAGUUCUUCACCAGUUGGCUGUUUAGGGCCACCAUCAGUCUGUCAGCCACCAGCUAAGAAGACAUUGGCUGCUACACUUGUUGAGAAAACAAAAAAGCAGUCAGUUGCCUUAGUCCCUAAGGAAAUUGCGAAGUUAGCACAGAGAUUUUUUCCAUUGUUCAAUCCAGCAUUAUUUCCCCAUAAGCCACCUCCUGUUGCAGUUGCAAAUCGGGUUCUUUUCACUGAUGCAGAGGAUGAAUUACUGGCAUUGGGCUUAAUGGAAUAUAAUUCAGAUUGGAAAGCAAUUCAACAACGUUUUCUUCCUUGCAAAUCUAAGCACCAGAUUUUUGUUAGGCAAAAAAAUCGAUGCUCAUCCAAGGCGCCAGAAAAUCCCAUAAAGGCAGUCCGGAGAAUGAAAAACUCUCCUUUGAAUGCAGAAGAGAUACAAGGUAUUCAGGAGGGGCUCAAAGCAUUUAAACUUGACUGGAUGUCUGUCUGGAAAUUUAUAGUCCCACACAGGGAUCCAUCCUUGCUUCCCCGGCAGUGGCGCAUAGCCCUUGGAACUCAGAAGUCAUAUAAACAAGAUGCAGCCAAAAAAGAGAAGCGGCGACUCUAUGAAUCUGAACGACGAAAGCGUAAAGCUACCAAUUCGACUAAUUGGCAACAUGCAUCUGAUAAAGAGGACUGUCAAUAUACUGGUGUAGAGAAUUGCAGUGGAGAUGAUGACAUGGAUAAUGCAGAGGAGUCUUAUGUUCAUGAGGGAUUUUUAGCUGAUUGGAGGCCGGGUAUUUCCAAGCUCUUUUCAUCUGAACAUCCUUGCUCGAUCAUUGGAGACAAGAACCCACCUAAUGAUAUGCUUACAGAAGAGGGUGCAAAUGUCAGAGAACAAUCAAGUAGAUAUAUGUCUGCAGUCACUCGGCCCUUGAGUGGCCAUAAUCAGGGAUCUGCACAUGCGUUUAACCAUUCUCAGCCGCCUUACACCUUUUCUCAUUGUGCAUCUAAUGCAUUGCAGCCAAAACACCCUGUUCCUAAUAUGAUAUUGAAUACCACUAAACCUCAAAUAUAUUUACGGCCAUAUCGAUCUCGUAAAUCCAACAAUCUACGGGUAGUGAAAUUGGCACCAGACUUGCCCCCAGUAAAUCUACCACCAUCUGUUCGUGUAAUCUCAGAAUCAGCUCUGAAAUUCAAUCAAUGUGGAGCAUACACCAAGGUUUCUGCAACUGGAAAUCGCGUUGUUGAUGCUGGAAUAGUAAAUACAGUUUCUCCAUUUUCAGGUUUUACUAAGCCAUUGGUGAAUAAAAGUGAUAAAAGCAAUCCAAUGGGAGAUAAUGUCACAAAUUCCAACUCAGAAGAAUCUGGGGUUGUCAAGGACAAAAGUGUUGCAAAAGAAAGUACUCGUACUGAUCUUCAGAUGCAUCCGUUGCUGUUUCAGGCCCCUGAAGAUGGACAAGUGCCAUAUUAUCCACUGAAUUGUGGAGCUGGUGCAUCCAGUUCUUUCAGUUUGUUUUCCGGGAACCAGCCCCAACUAAACCUAAGUCUCUUUUACAAUCCACAGCAAGCUAAGAAAAUGAAGGAAUCUGUUUCAGCAUCCUAUGGCAUUGAUUUCCACCCGCUCUUGCAAAGAACUGAUGAAACAAAUAAUGAACUAAUUACUUCGGGCUCUAUUGCAUCUCCAUCUGUUGGUUUGGAUGGCAAAUCUGCUGCACCUAAUCCUUCCAAUGCUGUUCAAAUGAGGCCAGUGGUCCAUUACAGCCCAUUUGCUGCUAGAUCUAGGCCUUCUAGUCCAAAUGAGAAAGCUAACGAACUAGACUUGGAGAUCCAUCUUAGUUCUUCAUCUGCGAAAGAAAAUGCUGCAUUAAGUAGGGGUGUGACUCCACAUCCUACAAACUCAUCAGUUAGGUUACUAAAUUCUCAUAAUGCAACAGAAACACAGGACACUUUCCAUUCAUCAGGCAACAAGUUUGUUUCUGGUGGCUGUGCAUCUACCAUAUCAAGCAAAGUCAUUGGAAGAUACAUUGACGAUGGAAGUGACCAGUCUCAUCCUGAGAUUGUGAUGGAACAGGAAGAGUUAAGUGACUCAGAUGAAGAUGUUGAAGAACAUGUGGAGUUUGAGUGCGAAGAAAUGGCUGAUUCCGAAGGAGAAGGAGAUUCAGGCUGUGAACAAGUAUCGGAGAUGCAAGAUAAGGAUGCCCAAGGUUCCGUGACACGAGAAAUUGUGAUGGAUGAAGAUUGUAAUGAUCAACAAUGGGAAUUAAGCAUCCAUGGCUACAAGUCACAGAACAAUGUUUGUGAUCCUGAAAGCAGAAGCCCUUCUUUCUUGAAGACGGGUUCCACAUGUCCAAAGAAGGAUAAAAGCAGUUCCUGGUUGAGCUUAGAUGCAUCUGCAUCAGGACGUACUUCACGUGCAAAACCUAAGAAUGAAGCGAGUACAAUCAGCAAAUGCACUCCUACUAAAACUUCAGCUUCACAUCGUACCACCAGACCUUCGAAGCAGGCAACACCAAGCACAAGAAAAGUUGCACUACAGGAGCAUGCUGUAGAUAUGGCAGAACAACUCAGCUUGGGUCCUCUAUCAGCUCCAACAUCAAGGAAACCAAGAAAACGUACAUGUCGGGCAAAUAAAAUCACAAAUGUUGGUACGAGCUUAGGGAACUCAAAAAAAGAUGCGAAAGACAGUGGUUAGUUAAAGUGACAGAUUAUUGCUGGUAAUGGUGAUUGAGUUGCUUAUAUUCCCCUGGCCGAGAUUUUGUUUUUGUAUGCUUGCUUCCGUGGCUGAAAAGAGAGCCCUCAGCAGAGAUUUUGUAUCUCCACUGCCUUCACUCUUGCUGUAAGUUAAUCCAUUGGUCACCAUGUCUUGCCCUCUAAUCUAACAAUGUGGGUGUCCUGAAAACCAUCUCUUUCAGACACCUUAGAGAUCAUAUCGGUUCAGUAAAGAACACGCUGAAGAUUACCUAAGCCAUAAAGCUUGUUGCUGCUGCUGCUAAAGUCAGGAGAGCUCAAGAAGCUGUGAUCAACGACAGACCUUUCUCCGAGUCUCUCUAAUGGAAGUUCUUUACAACAUCAACGAACCACUCCGGAGUGAAGACAUUGAUGUUCCUCUCACAAAUGUUAGGCCAGUCAAAAAGGUUGCCCUGGUCAUUGUUGCUGGUGAUUCGUGGUCUUUGUGGGGGUUUGGACAAUACAUUCCCCGAUCACGUCCAAGAACAUGUGUGAAGGGCGAUUAAUCCCUGUUAUUAAAAUGUAAGAAUUUUUACCAAAUGUACAUUAUGUACAUUAUAAAUGUUCAUACAAAAUCUUGAUACAAACUUGAAAGUUUAGGGUUAGAGUCUUGUACAAACCCUAUUAUGGUGACGUGAACCAUAGGUAAACGACAUCGUGGGUUGGUGUUCAACAUCAUUUUGAUAGUAAAAAGAUCUUUUCGGUC